Molecule: ribosomal RNA, 461 nt
Filed under: Meyerozyma guilliermondii
Lineage: Eukaryota; Fungi; Ascomycota; Pichiomycetes; Serinales; Debaryomycetaceae
Description: eukaryotic LSU rRNA
Rfam family: Eukaryotic large subunit ribosomal RNA
Source: RNAcentral
CGCCUUCGGUGUCCGAGUUGUAAUUUGAAGAUUGUAACCUUGGGGUUGGCUCUUGUCUAUGUUUCUUGGAACAGGACGUCACAGAGGGUGAGAAUCCCGUGCGAUGAGAUGCCCAAUUCUAUGUAAGGUGCUUUCGAAGAGUCGAGUUGUUUGGGAAUGCAGCUCUAAGUGGGUGGUAAAUUCCAUCUAAAGCUAAAUAUUGGCGAGAGACCGAUAGCGAACAAGUACAGUGAUGGAAAGAUGAAAAGAACUUUGAAAAGAGAGUGAAAAAGUACGUGAAAUUGUUGAAAGGGAAGGGUUUGAGAUCAGACUCGAUAUUUUGUGAGCCUUGCCUUCGUGGCGGGGUGACCCGCAGCUUAUCGGGCCAGCAUCGGUUUGGGCGGUAGGAUAAUGGCGUAGGAAUGUGACUUUACUUCGGUGAAGUGUUAUAGCCUGCGUUGAUGCUGCCUGCCUAGACCGAG